CUGACCCAAGAAAAAAUAGAUAGUGUUACUAAACGUGAAUCAAUAUAGAGAUUAGCAUGGCCCCUGUGUAAGGAUGACAUACAAAUUCAUGCAGUGUCCCUAUUUUUC
Small nuclear RNA from Ailuropoda melanoleuca (giant panda), 108 nucleotides. The record is from Ensembl. Lineage: Eukaryota; Metazoa; Chordata; Mammalia; Carnivora; Ursidae.